This 483-nucleotide ribosomal RNA is filed under the name uncultured eukaryote. Its description in RNAcentral is "SSU rRNA". It matches the Rfam family "Eukaryotic small subunit ribosomal RNA", at positions 21 to 507 of the family's 1831-position model. The record is from RNAcentral.
UAGUCAUAUGCUUGUCUCAAAGAUUAAGCCAUGCAUGUCUAAGUAUACGCAAAUUAUACUGUGAAACUGCGAAUGGCUCAUUAAAUCAGUUAUAGUUUAUUUGAUGUUUCUUGCUACAUGGAUAACUGUGGUAAUUCUAGAGCUAAUACAUGCGUAAAAAGCCCCGACUUCUGGAAGGGGUGUAUUUAUUAGAUAAAAACCAUCCUCCUCGGAGUUUGGUGAUUCAUAAUAACUUCUCGAAUCGCACGGCCUUGUGCUGGCGAUGCUUCAUUCAAAUAUCUGCCCUAUCAACUGUCGAUGGUAGGAUAGAGGCCUACCAUGGUUGCAACGGGUAACGGGGAAUAAGGGUUCGAUUCCGGAGAGGGAGCCUGAGAAACGGCUACCACAUCCAAGGAAGGCAGCUAGGCGCGCAAAUUACCCGAAUCCCGACACGGGGAGGUAGUGACGAAUAAAUAACGAUGCGGGGCCCUUUUGGGUCUUGUA